GCAUCUGAAGCCUGACGAGGAUGAGAACCUCCGGGGGCAAGAGGUUCGACCCGAGCGAAGCGAGAAAACGUUGCGUCAGCAACGGCCCGCAGUGGCAAGUCAUCCUCUGUCACCGGCAG
RNAcentral lists this small RNA (119 nucleotides) under Salmonella enterica subsp. enterica serovar Banana. RNAcentral describes it as "RtT sRNA". It matches the Rfam family "RtT RNA". Rfam says of the family: This family represents a bacterial cis-regulatory element known as RtT RNA. Lineage: Bacteria; Pseudomonadati; Pseudomonadota; Gammaproteobacteria; Enterobacterales; Enterobacteriaceae. RNAcentral also lists the same sequence under 1 other name. The record is from RNAcentral.